GACGAACGCUGGCGGCGUGCCUAAUACAUGCAAGUCGAACGCUUCUUUCCUCCCGAGUGCUUGCACUCCAUUGGAAAGAGGAGUGGCGGACGGGUGAGUAACACGUGGGUAACCUACCCAUCAGAGGGGGAUAACACUUGGAAACAGGUGCUAAUACCGCAUAACAGUUUAUGCCGCAUGGCCUAAGAGUGAAAGGCGCUUUCGGGUGUCGCUGAUGGAGGGACCCGAGGUGGAUUAGCUAGUUGGUGAGGUAACGGCUCACCAAGGCCACGAUGCAUAGCCGACCUGAGAGGGUGAUCGGCCACACUGGGACUGAGACACGGCCCAGACUCCUACGGGAGGCAGCAGUAGGGAAUCUUCGGCAAUGGACGAAAGUCUGACCGAGCAACGCCGCGUGAGUGAAGAAGGUUUUCGGAUCGUAAAACUCUGUUGUUAGAGAAGAACAAGGACGUUAGUAACUGAACGUCCCCUGACGGUAUCUAACCAGAAAGCCACGGCUAACUACGUG
Molecule: ribosomal RNA, 508 nt
Filed under: uncultured bacterium
Lineage: Bacteria
Description: partial 16S ribosomal RNA
Rfam family: Bacterial small subunit ribosomal RNA
Source: RNAcentral